This 10427-nucleotide long non-coding RNA is filed under the name Triticum aestivum (bread wheat). RNAcentral's name for it is "long non-coding RNA (TAES_LNC016678)". The record is from RNAcentral. Lineage: Eukaryota; Viridiplantae; Streptophyta; Magnoliopsida; Poales; Poaceae.
AAGAAGUGCAGCUCAUCAAGAACCUUUUGCACCCCAAUACUGCAGUGAGUAGAUGAAAUACUACUGAUUACAUAUCAGAUUAGGUGCACUGUAUAUAUCUGUCAGCGAUCAAGAUGGGCGCCAAGUCGAGGUUCAAACCAAUGUUCGGCCCAAGAGGUAGUCUCGCGUGCCCGCUCGGCUAGCUGGGCCUGAAUGGGCCUAGACCACUCACAUACAUAUACCCAGGACGACAACGAGGAUAGGUGGCGGCUGGCAAACGACUAGUUUGUAAUCUGGUAGAUGGCGUGAGCCAGUAGUUCUUCCUCCUCUCCCUCUCGAUCCCCUUCCUUGUUAACACAAUUCGGCCAUGGUGAAUGAAAUUCGGGAUUGAUACCUCACAAUCUGGCAUCAGAGCCAUUCCUCCCCACCACCCUGGACCUUCCCGUCCACCGGCGUCACACCAGGCUCGCCGACUGCCGCCGCGCUGAAGCCAUGGAAAAAAUUUCCCCCGAGACCAAGGCGAUCUACAAGCUGCUGAGGGCGGGUUUCGACACCGCCUUCUUCAAGAGCUCGGCGGAGCGCAGCCAGGAGAUGGUCUCGGCCCUCGCCAAGCUCGACAGCAAGCUGGACCAGCUCUCCGGCCGGAUCGAGGACGUCAAGCUCUCCAUCGGAGUCGACCUCGACGAGCUCCGUGGCGAGAUUGGGGUGGACCGCGUCAACGCGCCCUGCCCGACCGCGCCGUCGUCACCACGCGAGCCGCCUGCGUCCACCAAGGGCAUGUCGAUCCACAGUGGAUCAGGAGGAUCUGAAGGAUUCUGCACCGAGAGCGACCUCCGAGCGCCAGCCCAACGAUACGUACAACCACCGGCUCGAGGUAUGCCUUCAGAUCAGAGCACCACCAGACAGAUCAUCCAGGCUCCAGAAAUUUUUCGUCCGCAUCAGGCUGAAAUUAUGGGGUACAACCCUAGAAUUGAACUUCCGCGAUUUGAUGGCUCGAAUCCCAAGCUAUGGCAAACCGAUGCGAGGAUUACUUCAGGUUCUGAAACAGGCCACAACAGCAGUGGAUUUCAUUUGCGUCAGCUUAGUUUGAGGACACUGCAGCGCGCUGGCUCGAAUCAGUUCAGCGUUGUGCCCUGCAAGUCAAGUGGGCUGAAUUUUGUGCCCUGCUGCAAUCCAGGUUUGGCAGGAAUAAACACCAGAAUCUCUUGAGGCAGAUGUUCAAAAUUCAUCAAUCAGGUUCAGUAGAAGAUUAUGUGGAACGUUUCUCUGAACUGUAUGACCAACUCACAGUGUAUGAAGCACAGCCGAACUGAAGGAAAUAUGCCCUAGAGGCAAUAAUAAAGUUAUUAUUUAUUUCCUUAUAUCAUGAUAAAUGUUUAUUAUUCAUGCUAGAAUUGUAUUAACCGGAAACAUAAUACAUGUGUGAAUACAUAGACAAACAUAGUGUCACUAGUAUGCCUCUACUUGACUAGCUCGUGAAUCAAAGAUGGUUAAGUUUCCUAGCCAUGGACAAAAGAGUUGUCAUUUGAUUAACGGGAUCACAUCAUUAGGAGAAUGAUGUGAUUGACAUGACCCAUUCCGUUAGCCUAGCACUUGAUCGUUUAGUAUGUUGCUAUUGCUUUCUUCAUGACUUAUACAUGUUCCUUUAACUAUGAGAUUAUGCAACUCCCGUUUACCGGAGGAACACUUUGGGUGCUACCAAACGUCACAACGUAACUGGGUGAUUAUAAAGGAGUACUACAGGUGUCUCCAAAGGUAGAUGUUGGGUUGGCGUAUUUCGAGAUUAGGUUUUGUCACUCCGAUUGUCGGAGAGGUAUCUCUGGGCCCUCUCGGUAAUGCACAUCACUAUAAGCCUUGCAAGCAAUGUGACUAAUGAGUUAGUUGCGGGAUGAUGCAUUACGUAACGAGUAAAGAGACUUGCCGGUAACGAGAUUGAACUAGGUAUUGGAUACCGACGAUCGAAUCUCGGGCAAGUAACAUACCGAUGACAAAGGGAACAACGUAUGUUGUUAUGCGGUUUGACCGAUAAAGAUCUUCGUAGAAUAUGUGGGAGCCAAUAUGAGCAUCCAGGUUCCGCUAUUGGUUAUUGACCGAGAAUAGUUCUAGGUCAUGUCUACAUUGUUCUCGAACCCGUAGGGUCCGCACACUUAAGGUUUCGAUGACAGUUAUAUUAUGAGUUUAUGAGUUUUGAUGUACCGAAGGAGUUCGGAGUCCCGGAUGAGAUCGGGGACAUGACGAGGAGUCUCGAAAUGGUCGAGACAUAAAGAUCGAUAUAUUGGACGACUAUAUUCGGAGUUCGGAAAGGUUCCGAGUGAUUCGGGUAUUUUUCGGAGUACCGGAGAGUUACGGGAAUUCGUCGGGGAGUAUAUGGGCCUUAUUGGGCCAUACGGGAAUAGAGGAGAGGGGCCGAAAGGAAGGAGGCGCGCAGCCCCCCUCUAGUCCGAAUUGGACAAGGGGUGCGGCCCCCUUUUCCUUCCUCCUCUCCCCCUCUUUCCCCCUUCUCCUACUCCAACAAGGAAGGAGGGAGUUCUACUCCCGGUGGGAGUAGGACUCCCCUUGGCGCGCCCCUACUAGGCCGGCCGCCCCCUCCCCUUGCUCCUUUAUAUACGGGGGCAGGGGGGCACCUCUAGACACAACAACAAUUGAUCCCUUGGAUCUCUUAGCCGUGUGCGGUGCCCCCCUCCACCAUAAUCCACCUCGAUAAUAUUGUAGCGGUGCUUAGGCGAAGCCCUGUGUCGGUAGUACAUCAAGAUCGUCACCACGCCGUUGUGCUGACGAAACUCUCCCUCGACACUCGGCUGGAUCGGAGUUCGAGGGACGUCAUCGAGCUGAAUGUGUGCUAGAACUCGGAGGUGCCGUAGUUUCGGUGCUUGAUCGGUCGGGCCGUGAAGAUGUACGACUACAUCAACCGCGUUGUUCUAACGCUUCCGCUUACGGUCUACGAGGGUACGUGGACGAACACUCUCUCCUCUCGUUGCUAUGCCAUCACCAUGAUCUUGCGUGUGCGUAGGAAAUUUUUUGAAAUUACUACGUUCCCCAACACGAACAUGGUACAUUAUGUGACAAGGUUUAUGGAAGGAUUGUCACCUUCAGUUCGUCUGCUUGUUGGCAUUCAACAACCUGAUGAUCUGGAUUCAGCUUACGCGUUAGCGUUGCUAUCAGAAGAAUUAGGAGACAAUGUUAUGCAGCAACAAUACAGUUCCUCAGGAAGCAGACGACUGCAUGUGUCCACAGUGCCAAAACAGUCUGUCAGCAAAACUGCAGAUGAGAGAAAAACUUCAGAGCAACCGCGUACAGAUGACAGGUGGGCUGCUUUGCGAGCUUACAGGAAGUCCAAGGGCUUGUGUUUCAUAUGUGGAGAACAUUGGGCACGUGAACAUCGAUGUAAACAGGAAGUGCAAUUGCAUGUAGUUCAAGAAAUGCUGGAUUAUGUGCAAAGUAUGCCUGCUGAUUUCAGUGAUACAGAGGAAACUGUUACUGAAGAAGUCAAUGCUAUCUGCAUUUCAGCAGCAGCUAUGAGAGAUGUAACAGCCCAGCUACAACUACUAUGAAACUAAGGUGCAACUGCAAGGCCAUCUUUUGGUUUUUCUUGUGGAUUCUGGAAGUACUCACUCCUUUGUGGAUGGUACAGUAGCUGCCUCUUUUGCAGGAGUUUCCUCAAUACCUGUCAGCAUGGUUAAUGUGGCCAAUGGUAGCUUAGUUCCUUGUACUCAACAGUUGUAGAAAGGACAUUGGACCUGCAAUGGUCAUGAAUUUGUCAAUGAUUUCAGAGUGUUUCCCUUGGGUUCUUAUGACGGGAUCCUUGGUUUGGAUUGGUUGUCUAGCCACAGUCCAAUGCAAGUUGAUUGGGCAGCCCAUUGUCUCUCCUUCCAGGUACAAGACAAUUUGGUUACACUGCUGGGCCAAGAUGCAGUUCCUUAGUUGUUUGCUCUGGUUGAAGUCUCUGCUUUGCUAGCAACUGAAACAACAGGAACCACUAAAUUACCUAUAGAGAUCAAACAACUGUUGGAUCAAUUUGCACCUGUAUUUGCAACUCCAACUGGUCUGCCUCCAAGAAGAAAGUAUGAUCAUACUAUUCCCCUGGUUCCUGGAGCACAACCAGUAGCUGUUAGACCUUAUAGAGUUGCACCCGCACUGAAAGAUGAAAUGGAAAAGCAAGUUCAGGAAAUGCUUGCAGCUGGGAUUAUAAGACACAAUAACAUUGCCUUUUCUUCUAUGAUUAUGGUGCAAAAGAAGGACAAAACAUGGAGACCAGUGUUUGACUACAGAAAGUUGAAUGCUAUUACAAUCAAGAGUAAAUAUCCAAUUCCUAUUAUUGAUGAGUUGUUGGAUGAGUUAGCUGGAUCUUCUUGGUUUACUAAACUGGACCUCAGGUCUAGAUAUCACCAGAUCAGACUAGCACCUGGAGAGGAACAUAAAACUGCAUUUCAAACUCAUUUUGGUCACUUUGAGUUCCUGGUGAUGUCCUUUGGAUUGACUGGUGGCCCUAACACCUUCAAUUUUGCUAUGUCUGUCACCCUGUCUCCCUGCCUCAGAAAAUAUGCCAUCAAUUUCUUUGAUGAUAUUCUUAUAUCCAGUGCUUCCUAUGAAUUGCAUUUGCAACAUCUGGCAGAAGUGUUGAAACUGUUAUUGCAACAUCAGUGGCAUGUGAAUCUCUCUAAAUGCUCCUUUGCUCAAACUCAGAUUGGAUAUUUAGGGCACAUUAUUAGUGCACAAGGGGUAUCUACAGAUCCAACAGAAAUUGUAGCUAUUCAGGAAUGGCCAGUGCAUGUGUCUGCAAAAGAAGUUAGGGGAUUUCUAGGACUUGCUGGGUAUUAUAGGAAGUUUAUCUCUCAAUAUGGGAUGUUGAGCAAGGCUCUUACUAAUCUUCUCAAGAAAGGGGUCCCUUUUCACUGGUUGAACAAUGAACAACAAGCUUUUGAUCUGUUAAAGAAGGCCUUGGUUUCAGCCCCUGUACUAGCACUACCACUACUAGGGAAAACCCUAGUAUUAGCGCGGGUUUUGAGGCUAGCAGCAGCGCGGGUGGCCGCGCUACUAAUAAGGCGCUACAGCUAACUCAUAGUAGUAGCGCGGCCCUUACCUGCGCUACUACUGUUGACGAUAUCAGCAACGCUUUUUAUGAACGCGCUACUAUUACCUAGCUGUAGCGAUUUCGCAGUCCCUCGCUACUGCUAUAUCUUUCAUCAUUUUCCCCGUACCCCUUUUCCCUUUCAGUUUCCCUUUUAGAUACUAGAUACUAGGUAUUGCUGGUAGAUAUCAAAUUCAUAAACCAUUACUGGGUAGUACUCCCUUCAUUCCAAAUUACUCGUCGUGGUUUUAGUUCAAACCACGAUGAGUAAUUUGGAACGAAGGGAGUAUUAGAUAACAAUUUCAUGCAUAGUCAACAUGCAUCCUCAAGCAGUACAAGGUCAUAUCAAUGGUGAUCAUCAUAUGUAGUUCUAGAUGAUAUCGACGACGAUCAUCAUAUGUAGUUCUAGAUGAUAUAGCCACACACACAUAUGUAGUUCUAGAUGAUAUAGCCACACACACAUAUGUAGUUCUAGAUGAUAUCAAAGACAAUCAUCAUCCUCAAGCCUGGGCGGUUGGUGUUCCUGAUAGUAAUUAGGAUGGCCUGUCCAACACGAAGAUUCUUGCCAUCGAGGAAUUUCUUCUACCCAACCGAGUUUAAGUGUGUGCGACUGUCCGUGUCCACGCGGUAAGUACAGGUUGUGACGGAGCCCCUUGCAGUAAGCCGUAGUCUAGCUGAGCCUUCUUCAUCAGGCUCGAUACCAUAACUCACAAAUAUGCUCUUUGCCAAUUUCUGAAUAAGAAAAACAUAUCAAUUAAUAAAUAGCCUCGCAAAUAAGUACAUAUGGAUUAUCUACACUAUUAAUAGUUUCCUUAGAUUCUACACUAAUAAGCAUGUGAUCGAACUCUACACUAAAACAUAUCAUCGACUAGAUUCCACACAACAUACCAUAUCAUUGGACUGUACACUAAGUAAUUCAUCGGAUAAUUUGCAUUUGUAAGUAUAACAUACCAUAUCAUGUCGAUCAACCAUGGUAUUUGUCAAGCGGGUCACGAAUGGCACCCCGACAAAGUCAGCACGUGGAGGAAUUAUGUCCCACAAGUUGGACACCUCCUCCUCACUCAGCCUUGUUCUUUGAGCUAGGAUGGCUUCAUGAAGUGGGUCCUCAUCAUCUUCAUCGAGUGGGUCCUCAUUAUCUUCAUCAUCUUCAUCAUCUUCAUCAUCUUCCACCAGGUUGAGAUAAAUGACAGCCAGCUUGGGUCUUUCUGCUCGGAAGGAGAAGGUGAUCAACUCACCCCCAGUAAGACGCAUGCGAGCGAUGAAACGGGCCCAUCCAUCUCCUCCAAUCUGUGAAAUAUUGUGUCCUUUAUCGACCUCCAUAGUGUACGGCCCCCCAGGAGCCUCAAAUGUCAUAGUGUCUCCUGUCAGCUUGUUGAAUUUCAACCUGACAUUGCAUGGGAUGAUCUGUGUAAAAUAAGCAAAAUGACACAAUGCAGUAAUGCCAACACUAAAAAUAAAAUAGUUAUUACAUUUCAUCUAAUUUCUUACCACCGCAUGAUGAAAACUCGGCUGGAAGUAGAUGCCGAACAGCUUGCCAGUUGCAAGGCUGCUGGCGCAUCUUGACUUGCACAGUCGACAUAGUGGUGGUGGUGGUGGCGCCAUUUUUCCUAAAGCAAUAUGAGUAAAGGAUUAACGAUCCACUUCACAGGAAAGAAAAACAGCAAGGAGGAGGAGGUGACGGCGGCGCAGACGGAGGAGGGGCGACGGGGGUGGACCAGCGCGGGGAAUUGAAAGGGGAUCUAAUGAGUGUGUGACUGUGUGAGUGGAUCAGAUAGAGGAGAUGGGGGUGUGAGAUGAAUGGCUUAGCAGUAGCGCGCUAUAGGGAAAGACGCUACUGCUAAGCUACCUAGCAGCAGCGCCUUUCACAAUAAAGCGCUACUGCUAUGUGUCAGCAUGUAAAAAUAGACUUUGUUCAAUAUAUCAAAAAUACAUUGAUCAUCAACGAUCUUUUUGUGUACAAUCUGAUUUGUCAAUAUGAGUCCUCACCGGUUUAGGAACAGGUGAAGACUCAUAUUGCAGCCACAAAUUCUACACAUAGAGUUCAAUGAAGACCAAGUGCUUGUCAAAGUUUGAGAAGUAACAUAUUUAAGGUGGUAGAAACUCUCUUCACGGAGUGAGGUGGGACUAAAUUUUUGUAGUAAACUUAGCAGUAGCGCUUAUUGGAGAAAUGCGCUGCUACUAUGCUACAUAGCAGUAGCGCCCGUCGUUAUAACGCGUUGCUGCUAUAACUAGCCUCGCGGCGGCCUCGUGGGAAUCAUAGCAGUAGCGCGUCUUUGAGCGGGCGCGCUACUGCUAUAUCUGUUUCAGCAGCGAGUUACUCUUGAGCACGCUACUGCUAAUUAGCAGCAGCGCCUUAUUUUAAAGCGCGCUGCUGAUAAGAUUAUGUGUAUAGGCUUUUCCCUAGUAGUGUACCCAACUUCUCCAAGGUUUUCAUAUUGGAAACUGAUGCUUGUGAUGUGGGUAUAGGAGUUGUCCUUAUGCAGGAAGGAUAUCCAGUUGCUUAUGUCAGUAAAGCUCUUGGCCCCAGGAACCAAACAUUGUCAGUGUAUGAAAAAGAAUACCUAGCUAUAUUAUUAGCAAUGGAACACUGGAGACAAUAUUUGCAGCUUGCUCCUUUUGUCAUCAGAACUGACCAACACAGCUUGGCUUGUCUUUCUGAACAGAGACUGCACACUAAGUGGUAACAGAAAGCACUGACAAAAAUGUUGGGAUUACAGUAUACUAUUGAGUAUAAAAAGGGUGUUGACAAUACUGCAGCAGAUUCUUUGUCUAGGAGACCUCACAAUCCUCAAGAUGUGUUACCUGAACUGCAACAUAUUUCUUCAGUGCAACCUACUUGGCUUGAGGAUAUUAGUCAGAGUUAUGCCGAUGACACCUUUGCUUCUGACUUGCUGAAGAAGUUGUCAGUGGCCCCUGCAUCUGACAACAAAUUUUCCCUGAAAGCUGGAAUCCUUCGACAUGGAAAGUGUGUCUGGAUUGGUAAUGAUCCUGUGUUGCAUAACAAGGUGGUAGCUGCAAUCCAUGACAGUCCAGUGGGAGGGCACUCUGGGUUUCCUGUGACUUACAAGCGUGUGAAGCAACUAUUCAAAUGGAAAGGAAUGCGAGGGUUUAUCAAAACUUAUGUCAAACAAUGCUUGACAUGUCAACAGGCCAAACCUGAGUGUAUUCCUUAUCCAGGUUUGCCAGCCUCUGCCAAUACCAAACCUACCUUGGGAAAUGGUUACAAUUGAUUUUGUGGAAGGACUUCCUACAUCUGGCCGCUACAACUACUUGAUGGUUAUUAUCGACAAGCUCUUCAAAUAUGGCCAUUUUGUUCCUCUGCACCAUCCUUACACAGCUGAAAUAGUUGCUGAAGCAUUUCUGAAUUCAGUGUAUAAGCUCCACGGUAUGCCUCUGUCUAUUGUCUCUGAUCGAGACAAAAUCUUUACUAGCAAAUUUUGGACUAAAUUAUUUCAGAAGUCUGGAGUUAUGUUACGUUUGAGUUCAGCCAGACAUCCACAAUCAGAUGGACAAAUAGAGUGUGUCAAUCAGCAAGUUGAGUGUUUCUUACGUUGUUUUGUUAGUGGUAAUCCCUCACAAUGGGCCAAGUGGAUUCUCUUGUCCAUGUCAUUUUGGUAUUGCAGUUGAUGAUACCAUCCAAUCCCCAGACUUAUAGCAGUGGCUUUCAGAACGUCAAGUGGUCCUGGAUUCAGUCAAACAACACUUGCUUCACUCGCAGCAACACAUGAAAAGUCAAGCUGACAAGCAUCGCACGAAUCGUGAAUUUGCAGUUGGAGAUCGUGUGUUUCUGAAGCUACAGCUGUACCUUCAAGCUUCAGUGGUGCCGCGUGUAAAUUAUAAACUUGCAUUCAAAUUCUAUGGCCCAUUUUGUAUCCUGGAACGUGUGGGAGCUGUGGCGUACAAACUCAAGCUGCCAGCAAGCAGUAAUGUCCGUCCGGUGUUCCACGUAUCACUGCUCAAGAGAGUACUGACGCCGGACUGUGAGGUAUUGUCACAACUACCUUCUCCUGAAGAUCAGUUUUGGUGUCUUGAGCAGAUCAUGCAGCAACGAAUUGUCCGUCGUGGCUCAGACUCAGUCAUCCAAGUGUUGGUCAAGUGGAGUGGUAUGCCGGAGGACAUGGCUACUUGGGAAGAUAAGGUGACGCUGCAACAAAACUUCCCGAGAGCACCGGCUUGGGGGCAAGCCGCUUCUAAGGGAGGACGGAUUUUCAGCGAUCAAGAUGGGCGCCAAGUCGAGGUUCAAACCAAUGUUCGGCCCAAGAGGUACCCUCGCGUGCCUGCUCGGCUAGCUAGGCCUGAAUGGGCCUAGACCACUCACAUACAUACCCAGGACGACAACGAGGAUAGGUGGCGACUGGCAAACGGCUAGUUUGUAAUCUGGUAGAUGGCAUGAGCCCGUAGUUCUUCCUCCUCUCCCUCUCGAUCCCCUUCCUUGUAAACACAAUUCAGCCAUGGUGAAUGAAAUUUGGGAUUGAGACCUCACAAUAUCUUGCUGGAGUUUGUUCCCGACCCAUGGCAUGCUGCCAGCCGGCUCUCACCACUCUGACUUCCGUGCCGCAUCGGCAACUCCUCUACUAUAUCCUCCUCUACUAAUUUUGUAGAUGAAUGGCCUACCAUUUCAAUCUGUGAAAUAUUGCUAAAUUUUGUAAACUGUCAGAACAUGGUACUUAAAACCAAUGAAAUCUUGUUGAAUGUUUCAACCUAUGGGAUGGGGUAGUCAAUUUUUCAUCAUUGAUAUGAUGGCUACGAAAAAAGUCAACAGUUACAUCUGCUUCCUCGGGUUGAUGCUUCAUGCUCAGCCAGUUUCCUUUCCCUUGAGUAGACUUGCCUCGGUCGGUUUGAUCUUGUGCUGACAGACCCGUACACCACAUCUUGUAGAAGGCUGAUAUGGAUUAUGCUCGACCUCUAUGACUUCACUCGAGUUAAUUCCCUGCGAUGCAAUUGACACAAUUAUCCUCGAUACCAACAACGAUCAGCCUGGGAGAUGGGCUUCCUAAUAUUAUUUAUUUUCAUUUUUCUUACGCUUAUGGUACGAUUGCAGUGGUUGGUUGGACUAAGUGAGGAUUUGUUUGCUAUAAGUUAAUUGCAAAUCUUUUUUUGUCAAAUGGAACAUGAUUUUGAUUAAAUCACGGCGAUAUAUUUUCUUGUAGGGAGAGAAGGUGGAUAUAAAGGCAUUGUGGAUACAUAUAAGAAGACCCAACGGAAGAAGCAAAGGGAGGAAUGCCAACAACAAGAGGCUGCAGCUAAAGGUCAAGACUACAGAGUUGAAGAAGAGAUGCAACAAGUGCAAAGCUUGUGACCUUUUUCAAACAAUAGUGGAAUCCUGAUGUUAUCGACUUAAUUUUUCUCUUAAAUCAAGACUUGAUGAUUGUCUUCUUCA